RNAcentral lists this ribosomal RNA (596 nucleotides) under Escherichia coli. RNAcentral describes it as "partial 23S ribosomal RNA". It matches the Rfam family "Bacterial large subunit ribosomal RNA", at positions 2211 to 2806 of the family's 2925-position model. Lineage: Bacteria; Pseudomonadati; Pseudomonadota; Gammaproteobacteria; Enterobacterales; Enterobacteriaceae. The record is from RNAcentral.
UGUUUGAUGUUCUAACGUUGGCCCCUGAUCGGGGUUGCGGACAGUGUCUGGUGGGUAGUUUGACUGGGGCGGUCUCCUCCUAAAGAGUAACGGAGGAGCACGAAGGUUGGCUAAUCCUGGUCGGACAUCAGGAGGUUAGUGCAAUGGCAUAAGCCAGCUUGACUGCGAGCGUGACGGCGCGAGCAGGUGCGAAAGCAGGUCAUAGUGAUCCGGUGGUUCUGAAUGGAAGGGCCAUCGCUCAACGGAUAAAAGGUACUCCGGGGAUAACAGGCUGAUACCGCCCAAGAGUUCAUAUCGACGGCGGUGUUUGGCACCUCGAUGUCGGCUCAUCACAUCCUGGGGCUGAAGUAGGUCCCAAGGGUAUGGCUGUUCGCCAUUUAAAGUGGUACGCGAGCUGGGUUUAGAACGUCGUGAGACAGUUCGGUCCCUAUCUGCCGUGGGCGCUGGAGAACUGAGGGGGGCUGCUCCUAGUACGAGAGGACCGGAGUGGACGCAUCACUGGUGUUCGGGUUGUCAUGCCAAUGGCACUGCCCGGUAGCUAAAUGCGGAAGAGAUAAGUGCUGAAAGCAUCUAAGCACGAAACUUGCCCCGAGAUG